Varanus komodoensis (Komodo dragon) is the source of this 306-nucleotide long non-coding RNA. RefSeq lists it as uncharacterized. The record is from RefSeq and is a predicted model, not a curated record. The transcript has 3 exons. Lineage: Eukaryota; Metazoa; Chordata; Lepidosauria; Squamata; Varanidae.
GAAGGCGGGCGCACUCACGAUCAUCACCCGAUACACAGUUCACAACCUGCGGCAACAUUUUUAUGAAAUUUCUGUUCGCGAGCCGAUUUGGUCGUGAACUGAGGCGUUCGUGAGCUGAGGUACCACUAUACUCAGAUUGAGAUUGCAGGAAAGCUAAAUGCAUUCAUUUCCUCCGUAUUCACAGCUGAGGAUAUAGAAGAGAUAAAUAUUCCUGAACAGAGGCUUUCAGGAAGGAAGUCUGAGGAAUUAAGACAAACAGCAGUGACAAAAGAUGAAAUUUUAGCUUUCAAUUUGUCAGUAAGGUAA